GGGGUGGGAGGGCCUCUCUGGAGUCACAGAAGCCUCAUGCAUCUUGACCAGGACGGUGGAUGCAUGGCUUACAUUGGUCACAACUUGUCAACUUGUAUGACUGAAAACUGAACAUCACAUUGAAUUGGACUCAAAGGCAAGACCUGAGGCAAAAUUCAUGUAAGGAGGGAGUUUGGGCGAAGCUUGAGGACUGCUGCCCGGAAGCGUAGAUUCAAGUUGCCCUGAAUACACCUCCUAUUAGCAGCUGUUACAGGUUCAGAAAAAGGAUGGAGGUAGAAAGUCCUCUCUCCCAAACACUAUGAUUGACACUGCAGAGUUCUGCAACUCUCGUACGAGGGAGAUUUCAUGAUGAUCUCAGUAACCGAUCAGAGAAUCAACGACUGACUUCGCUGAGGCACGGUGAUGAAAAGGUCAAGGUGGUCUGGUCUGAGUGAAGUCACAGCAAGAACCCUUGUCCAGGGCCAUUCUCACCUUUGGGGACAGCUCCUUCCCUGUAUGGUCCUCAUGUCACUGCACUUUCCUGCCUUGUUUCUUGCUGAAGCCAUUAUUUCUUAAUUCCUUAGUAGAUAUGCAGAGCGGACAUCCCAAAGAAGCUAGAAAAAUUGAUGAGCAGGGAACAGAUCAAAUCCUCUCCAUCAGUGGAAGGCAAUUCACGAGGGAAGAAGGCAAGACCAUGGGGUAAUUUUUCUGAGACUUGACAAUGUUUGCCAAGUAAAUAAAUCUGCCAUUUAACACUACGAUAAAAGCUGUCAUAGCCAGGGUAUUAGUGACUACUUGAGGUUUGAGGACAAUGAAGACAGAGUAAGAUAAACAUCCUUACUAUCCAGAAAAAAAAAACGGAACCAGAAGACAGCGCUUCUUACUAUCCACAAAAGAAAUGGAACCGCAAGACAGCCCUUCUUAUUUUUCUCCAUCUUCGAUGGUGAGGAAGAAUAAAAAAAAAGUUGCUUUUAAAGUAUAUUCAUUAAAAUCAAAUUCUAUUAUCAUACACACAAAAUAUUUACGUGAAACCAGCCACAAAAGAAUGACAAGGAACGCUACUGAUUUGUCCAUUCUGGGGGAUAAGAACACAGAUUCUUAUCUCACUCUUGUUAAAAGAAAACUUCAGCUGAAUUAAAUUUAAAGGAGUUUAAUUGAGCAAUGAAUGAUUUGCACAUCGGGCAGCCCCCAGAAUUACAGCAGAUUCAGAGAGACUCCAGUGCAGCCACGUGGUGGAAGAUUUAUAGACAAAAAAAGGGAAGUGAGGUAGAGAAACACCUGGAUUAGUUACAGGUUGGCAUUUGCCUUAUUUACACACAGUUUGAACAUUCAGCAGUGUAUGAGUGAUUGAAGUACGGCUGCUGGGACUGGCCGAGACUCAGCAAUUGUGACAGGAUGAGUCAUGGAAUGCAUAACUUUUAAUAACAAAAGCUUUAAGGACUCACGAAGGACAAGGCAGCCAUCUUGGUUCUCCAUGAGUCCAUGCUUAACAUCGGACUUAUGUCCUCUUGGGUGCCAGUUGUUUCUCCAAAUUGGGCACAUAGCAUGGAUAACUGAUGGGUUAUCACAGAAGUUUGGCUGCUGUAACUGACUGGGAAGCUUAAAAUAACAGACAAUCAUCUCUCACAUUUAUGGGGACUGGGAAGUCCAAGACCAAGUUGCCAUCUGGGGAGGGCCUGUUCCUCACAGCGCCUUCCAGCUCAGGCCUCGUUUAUAAGGGCACUCAAGCCUUCCACGACAACGGGUCCUCAUGACUUACUCACCUCGGAAAGCCCCACCCCCAAGACCAUCACAUUGUGGGUGAUGGCAGAGCAUAAGGUGCCUUCCCCACAUGCUCGGGUUGGCCCAGCGUCUCACGCUAGCAGCUACGUGGAAUAGUUAUUUUUUCUGGAGAACUCUGGGACCCCUCUGAUGUCUUGGAGCACCCACACAGGCCGUUCACUGUGCACGCUGUGAGGCUGUCGUCUUGGAGCACCCACACAGGCCGUUCACUGUGCACGUGGUGAGGCUGUCCUCUGGGGAGUUCUGCUGUUGUAUGGGUUCUGUCUGUGUCAAUGUCCCAGCGGGAACGCAGGGCACACUAGCGUCAUCCCCAGAGGGCUUGGUAAGGGGACUGUUUGCAGAGACAUAGGCAGAGGGCUGGAAAACUACCAAAAAAGUGCAGUGUUCUGGACCUAAUAAUAGCAGAGCUAUUCUCACCCUGGUCUGAAGGCAGGAGGGGAGGAGCAGUUAAUGGAUUCUGGAAGUCAGGUUGCACAGAGUCACCUUGAAAGAUGCCAUGACCUUCACCGAGGGCCAGACAGAGACUAAGAUGACCCCAUAGGAGAAUAAGACCUAGACCUCAUCCUCCUGCCUCCUGCCAGUCCCUGCCAGGGGUCGCCAAUGGCAAAACAGGACUGGAAGCCAGAGGCCAUGGAAGCCCAUGGAUGAAGUCCACAGGCCAGCCUCCCCGAGAGCAGCCUGGACGGUCCGCAGGAGACGUCUCCUGUCUUAGGCGUCCCACGCCGCGUGCUCCUGUUCAGCCCUGCCGAGGUGGAAGCUUGGAGUGGCUCACGGUGGAUGCAUUGACGCUGCAGACGCCAGCAAGUGCUACAAACCAGAGCUGGCCUUUAACUCAGACUGAUGGAGAAGGUGUUAAUAAUGCAGAUUAGACUUAAAAGUGUUGAAGCCAUUGCACUGUGAACAGCAAAAAAAUUGAAGAACUCUUCUGGCAUUUAAAAACAAUUACUCAGUUCAGCAGAGAAGUCACUGACAAACGAGAUCACACUGACUGCUUUGUCGUUUUGGUUUUGUCUUACUCAUUAAUGCAAAUAAGAACAUUCACUAGCAUCUGUGUCGGGCCUACCCUCCCUGGUCAAAUACAGCUACAGUCUCCCUGCAGAAACGAGUUUUCCAGAAAUGAGCCGAUGUUUUCUGCGAGAAUCAAUUGGUCAUAUACAAUUUACAAAAAUGAGUACUGUAUACUAUAUUUGUAAACUGUACACUGCAGAUGCUUUAUUUCACUGAAAUUUAUAAUACACUUAUCCAUGUAUAUGCAUGCAUGCAUUUUUGUUCCUGAGAUCCAGCUGUGAAAUGUUUACCAGCACAUAAAUUACCAGCACAUGCUCUUUUUUGUUAACCUACUAGGUAAAAUCUUCAUUUAUUACAUCAAAUUCUUGUAGUUUUUGUAUUGCAAUUAUGCAGAUAUUGAUUAUCGCAGUAUUACUGCAAUUAUACAGAUACCACAAUUUCAGAUAUUGAUCAGCGUGUUCAGUUGGUUUCUAAGGAGGUUUACUUACCUCAUGGUACACCUAGUUUGCAUAGUUUGAUUAUAUUUAACUCUUAUGCUAAUUGGGGGAAGUCAUUGAUUUAUUGGACAGAUGCACCUGUGGUCUUCCCUGAGCACAUCCUGGCCAAGGAUGCUGCCCCCAGGAGAUUUGAGAAGUCCUGUAAGGAUCAUAUCAGUAUUUUCAAAUACUUAUAGAAAAGCCAGAGGGAUUGACCCAGAAUUACCAAUAUAAGCUUGACCCUGAGAUAACAAUGCCAUUUUAUGUUUGCAUGCAUAAAACCAAUGCAAGAGGCUGAUGACUCCAGAUCCCUUAUAUAAGCCAAUAAAAAGUAGUUUCAUUUUUUAUUUCAUUUAAAAAA
Molecule: long non-coding RNA, 3606 nt
Filed under: Homo sapiens (human)
Lineage: Eukaryota; Metazoa; Chordata; Mammalia; Primates; Hominidae
Source: RNAcentral